RNAcentral lists this unclassified non-coding RNA (263 nucleotides) under uncultured Lactarius. Its description in RNAcentral is "sequence contains ITS2". The record is from RNAcentral. Lineage: Eukaryota; Fungi; Basidiomycota; Agaricomycetes; Russulales; Russulaceae.
AAAUCUCAACCUUCUCGGUUUUCUUCUGGACACCGAAGGAGGCUUGGACUUUGGAGGCCUUUGCUGGCAUCUCUCUCUUCUUGAGAGCCAGCUCCUCUUAAAUGAAUUAGCGGGGUCCUCUUUGCCGAUCCUCGACAUGUGAUAAGAUGUUUCCAUGACUUGGUUUCUGGCUCUGUUGCCUUUGGGACCCGCUUCUAACCGUCUCGACGAGACGACGUUUGGGCGCGUCUCCCUUCUCGGGAGACACUCUCAACCCCACGAAC